GUUAUUGACCACUGGGAUGAAGGUCUGCCGAAAGAAUAAUUUUCUUUUUCUUUGUUUAAAUUAAUAAAUAAAUAAAAAAGUUUAUUUUUUCUAGAUAGACGAUAAGACCCUAAAACCUUUAACGAGGACCCAAACCUCUUUUUGCUGGGGCGGCAAAUUAUAACUCCAUAAUUUAUAAAAACAUAAUGAAUGAAUAUUUAAACAUCUUAAAUUAAAUCCAAAAAGGUACUUUAGGGAUAACAGCAUAAUUUUUAUAUAGAGUUACUUAUCGACAUAAAAGAUUAUGACCUCGAUGUUGAAUUGAUAAUACUUUAUUAAGCAGUUAUAAUAAUAUGUAGGUCUGUUCGACCUUUAAAUUAUCACAUGAUCUGAGUUCAAACCGGA
Molecule: ribosomal RNA, 384 nt
Filed under: Trachelipus kytherensis
Lineage: Eukaryota; Metazoa; Arthropoda; Malacostraca; Isopoda; Trachelipodidae
Description: partial 16S ribosomal RNA
Rfam family: Bacterial large subunit ribosomal RNA (bases 98-384)
Source: RNAcentral